UGCAUCUUAUCAAAAAAGCGGAGGAAAAGAAACCAACCGGGAUUGCCUUAGUAACGGCGAGUGAAGCGGCAAAAGCUCAAAUUUGAAAUCUGGUACCUUCGGUGCCCGAGUUGUAAUUUGGAGAGGGCAACUUUGGGGCCGUUCCUUGUCUAUGUUCCUUGGAACAGGACGUCAUAGAGGGUGAGAAUCCCGUGUGGCGAGGAGUGCGGUUCUUUGUAAAGUGCCUUCGAAGAGUCGAGUUGUUUGGGAAUGCAGCUCUAAGUGGGUGGUAAAUUCCAUCUAAAGCUAAAUAUUGGCGAGAGACCGAUAGCGAACAAGUACAGUGAUGGAAAGAUGAAAAGAACUUUGAAAAGAGAGUGAAAAAGUACGUGAAAUUGUUGAAAGGGAAGGGCAUUUGAUCAGACAUGGUGUUUUGUGCCCUCUGCUCCUUGUGGGUAGGGGAAUCUCGCAUUUCACUGGGCCAGCAUCAGUUUUGGUGGCAGGAUAAAUCCAUAGGAAUGUAGCUUGCCUCGGUAAGUAUUAUAGCCUGUGGGAAUACUGCCAGCUGGGACUGAGGACUGCGACGUAAGUCAAGGACGCUAUCUCUUUAG
Molecule: ribosomal RNA, 590 nt
Filed under: Saccharomyces sp.
Lineage: Eukaryota; Fungi; Ascomycota; Saccharomycetes; Saccharomycetales; Saccharomycetaceae
Description: partial large subunit ribosomal RNA
Rfam family: Eukaryotic large subunit ribosomal RNA
Source: RNAcentral